GUGGUAGCGGCCGCAGUCCGUGGUGAGACGCCCCCACGCCUGAUAAGCGUGAGGUCAGUGGUUCAACUCCACUCAGGCCCA
This 81-nucleotide transfer RNA is filed under the name Gemmatimonadota bacterium. RNAcentral's name for it is "Gemmatimonadetes bacterium (groundwater metagenome) tRNA-Ile". The record is from RNAcentral. Lineage: Bacteria; Pseudomonadati; Gemmatimonadota.